GAGCUAUGAGGAAAACACAAAAACAUACUGACAUUCCUCUGAAGACUGUCAGAUCCAACUCUGAGCUCACAGUUCCU
Molecule: small nucleolar RNA, 77 nt
Organism: Anolis carolinensis (green anole)
Lineage: Eukaryota; Metazoa; Chordata; Lepidosauria; Squamata; Anolidae
Source: Ensembl